UGGCGGACGGGUAAGUAACGCGUGGGUAACCUGCCCUGUACAGGGGGAUAACAGUUGGAAACGGCUGCUAAAACCGCAUAACAUGGAGAUACCGCAUGAUAUUUCCAUCAAAUAUUUAUAGGUACAGGAUGGGCCCGCGUCUGAUUAGCCAGUUGGCAGGGUAAUGGCCUACCAAAGCGACGAUCAGUAGCCGGCUUGAGAGAGUGACCGGCCACAUUGGGACUGAGACACGGCCCAAACUCCUACGGAAGGCAGCAG
This 258-nucleotide ribosomal RNA is filed under the name uncultured bacterium. Its description in RNAcentral is "partial 16S ribosomal RNA". It matches the Rfam family "Bacterial small subunit ribosomal RNA", at positions 96 to 354 of the family's 1533-position model. The record is from RNAcentral.